Molecule: long non-coding RNA, 1199 nt
Organism: Peromyscus leucopus (white-footed mouse)
Lineage: Eukaryota; Metazoa; Chordata; Mammalia; Rodentia; Cricetidae
Exons: 4
Source: RefSeq, a predicted model, not a curated record
UUAUAUUACACAAAUAUUCCACAAUAUAAAUGAGUGUAACACAUCUUAAACUAAUAUUCCACAACAGUAGGUUUUGGAACUGAGAAGUGUGGGAAUUGAUAAGGAAGGAUAUUGAUGGACUGUUAUUCAGUUAUCUGCUUUUUCUAGUGAUAACUAUUACUGAGAUGAACAUCAUGUACUUAAAUCUAACGUUAAGGUAUUGUUAGGUAAAAGCUAUUUUGGUUUUAUGGUAAUUUUACUUUCUCUGGAACAUUUUUAGUUUGCCUGUGUUUUGAAGACAAGUGCUAAUUAAUUGCUGUUAGGAUGUAUGUCUUUUAUAGCACAGAUUUUAGAAUUCUAAUAUAAUCUCUUAUGCCAGUUCUGCCACAUAUCUUGAAUAAAUUAAACUUUCAACCUCAAUAUGUCUACCUAAUACCAACCUCAGUGGAAUAUGAAAAAUUAGAAGAGUGACUGAUACAUAAAAUUAGUUAAUCCUGAAAUAAUUAUUAGUUUCAUAUUUUCCUUCCUUGGGGUGUGAAAUUGGGGGAAACAGUUAUUCAUCACAGACACUAAGUCCUGAUGAUUAGGAGAGUCUGUUAUCACAGGAUAGCGUAACUGCUGACUGGCUUACCCUUGAAAGUAGAGUCUGACUUAGGUUGAUAAGUGGCUGAAGAAGAAUGCGUGUGAAUGAGCUUGGAUGAACAGGUUGGGGUGCCCACAUCUGGGGAUGUGUAAAGUCUUGUGCUGGGUUUGAACCCAGGGGAAGGGGACAGGUUAGAGAGAGGAUAGCUUUGCUCAAACUACCAUUUUCUGCUGAAGAGAAUGUUAUUAAGGUUUGUGGCUGUGAGUAAAGAUGUCCACAGAAGCAAGAAGAGUCUUGGACCUGGAGUUACAUGCAGUUGCUCUUCUGACUUGAUAGCCUGUCUGUUGCGGUAUACUGAAAGGAAGAAAAAAGAAAGGACAUAUUUUAUGGAAGCAUGGAAAGAGAGCUGCCUGGCAAGCACAUAGUCAAUAAACUUUCGGGAAGCUUCCAGAAAAAUUUAGGAGUAAUUCUUUGUUAGACUUAUAAACUAGGUUAGGCUACCUUGGUGAUUUUCUGAUCCUUUUGUAGCCAUAGACUCUGUAGUUUGCAUACAGUCUUAGGUAGAGCGCCUGUCCAUGAAGAAGAUGAAAGCAGAGUGCUUGCUGAGACGGGACUGAGGGGGUUUUUCUCUCUGUUU